RNAcentral lists this long non-coding RNA (1441 nucleotides) under Brachypodium distachyon (stiff brome). RNAcentral describes it as "long non-coding RNA (BDIS_LNC004342)". Lineage: Eukaryota; Viridiplantae; Streptophyta; Magnoliopsida; Poales; Poaceae. The record is from RNAcentral.
UACGCCCGAGACCUAUCCUCCUAUAUAAAGGACUAGAAGGGGGAGCCGGGGAGGACAGAUCAUAUUCUCUGUUAGAGGGAUCCACAGAGCUCAUCUCUCAUACAUGACUCCAUAGCAACCUUGUAAUCUCUCCAUCAAUACAGAUCAGACAAACAGGACGUAGGGGUACCUUCUGAACCUGAGUAAAUGGUAUCCCUUGUGUCCUUAUUAGCCGACGGAUCGUCAACACACACCAUGCUCUUCCUAAUCGAAAGCUUAGUUUGGGUAUGCUGAGAUAGCCCCUCGUCACCCGUCAUUUUCGGUUUUGUCAAAAUUUAUCCCUUGACCGCAGGCAAGAGACGAGAGCGCUGUUAAGUUUAUUUAUUUAUUUGAAAGAAGAGGGAUGCUAAGUUGUCAGUUCCGAUGUGUGCAUCCAUGCAUUGCCUGGAUGAUUCGUGGGCCUAGCCAGGCGCUGGCCAUUUAAGCAAGAUAUGAUUAGCAUGUAUAAGCAUAGGUUAAUUCUGAAGCAUGAUACCCUAGUGCCUGCAUGCUUUUCUUAGCAGUGUAUCUGAAGAUGAUCGAAAAUGCGGCUUGAUAACUAAUCUUUUGUUUUUAACACGCAAAUCUUCAAUGGACAAUUUGGUCAGUUUGAAUCAAAGAGUCCAGUACCAGUUAUGUGCUUAAUAUAUAGCCGAAUUUUGAUUAAACAACGGUCACGUCCCAUAGCGUGUUUAUUAAUUAAAGUUUUUUAGAUCAACAGGAACUCCCUCCCGGCUUCAUUUUAUUAAAAUGAAACCAACCAUGCCAGUGUCGGGGCCCCUUCCCCUUUUUAAAAAAAAAAAAAACACGCCAGUGUUUAUUAUUUACUUAAUCCAUUAAUCCAAGACUUCAUGGAUGUGGUUUGCUAACUAUUCACUUGCUGAUAACACAGAAAGACAUGACGGUGGAUGUGUCGUUCCAUCACACUUGAUGCGCAGAUGCGGCUGCGAAUCUUCUUUAGUGGGGUACUUUCUCCUUAGCCUCGACGAGUUCCAACAUCACCAACAACACCGGGUCACUCUCGUACCAAUUUGUCCCACACACUACGCGAACAAGCACGGGCAUUGCUGAGACUUAGACGAGAAGAUCGGCAAAGCUUGAUUUCCGGUGCCUCUCAUACCCACACACCCAUAUGCCCAUGGGAACUCAAGCUUGCCAUCAUAUAUAGGAAAAAAAAAAUCAAUACACAGAUGCAUUCUCGUAAGAUUGUUCGUCUCGGUACGUGUAGUUUUCUGGCACAAUGUGGAUCGGGUUGUUUUUCAUUUGGGUUGUCUUGCCUUGGCUUUAUAUACACACAAAGGUUGAUGAUUGGGCAUGCUCAAUCCUUAAUUUGUGUUCCAUUUAGUACAGCUUGCGUAUAUAUAAAGUCAUUGGAUACUUUUUCACUUUUAUUUUCGUUUUUCGUUCACACUGAGACGACGGC